AUUGAACGCUGGCGGCAUGCCUUACACAUGCAAGUCGAACGGCAGCACGGGAGCAAUCCUGGUGGCGAGUGGCGAACGGGUGAGUAAUAUAUCGGAACGUGCCCAGUCGUGGGGAUAACGUAGCGAAGCUACGCUAAUACCGCAUACGAUCUAUGGAUGAAAGACGGGGGAGUCGCAAGACCUCGCGCGAUUGGAGCGGCCGAUAUCAGAUUAGGUAGUUGGUGAGGUAAAGGGACUCACCAAGCCGACGAUCUGUAGCUGGUCUGAGAGGACGACCAGCCACACUGGGACUGAGACACGGCCCA
Molecule: ribosomal RNA, 305 nt
Filed under: uncultured bacterium
Lineage: Bacteria
Description: bacterial SSU rRNA
Rfam family: Bacterial small subunit ribosomal RNA
Source: RNAcentral